RNAcentral lists this ribosomal RNA (461 nucleotides) under uncultured beta proteobacterium. RNAcentral describes it as "bacterial SSU rRNA". It matches the Rfam family "Bacterial small subunit ribosomal RNA", at positions 190 to 642 of the family's 1533-position model. The record is from RNAcentral. Lineage: Bacteria; Pseudomonadati; Pseudomonadota; Betaproteobacteria.
AGGAAAGUAGGGGAUCGCAAGACCUUGCGCUCUUUGAGCGGCCGAUGUCUGAUUAGCUAGUUGGUGAGGUAAAGGCUUACCAAGGCGACGAUCAGUAGCUGGUCUGAGAGGACGACCAGCCACACUGGGACUGAGACACGGCCCAGACUCCUACGGGAGGCAGCAGUGGGGAAUUUUGGACAAUGGGGGAAACCCUGAUCCAGCCAUGCCGCGUGAGUGAAGAAGGCCUUCGGGUUGUAAAGCUCUUUCAGCCGGAACGAAACGGUCACGGCUAAUACCUGUGACUACUGACGGUACCGGAAGAAGAAGCACCGGCUAACUACGUGCCAGCAGCCGCGGUAAUACGUAGGGUGCAAGCGUUAAUCGGAAUUACUGGGCGUAAAGCGUGCGCAGGCGGUUUUGUAAGUCAGAUGUGAAAUCCCCGGGCUUAACCUGGGAACUGCGUUUGAAACUACAAGGCU